GAUGAACGCUGGCGGCGUGCCUAAUACAUGCAAGUCGAGCGAACAGAUGAGGAGCUUGCUCCUCUGACGUUAGCGGCGGACGGGUGAGUAACACGUGGAUAACCUACCUAUAAGACUGGGAUAACUUCGGGAAACCGGAGCUAAUACCGGAUAAUAUAUUGAACCGCAUGGUUCAAUAGUGAAAGACGGUUUUGCUGUCACUUAUAGAUGGAUCCGCGCCGCAUUAGCUAGUUGGUAAGCUAACGGCUUACCAAGGCAACGAUGCGUAGCCGACCUCAGGGGGCGAUCAGCCAUCUGGGAACUGAGGCACGGUCCAGACUCCUGAGAAAGGGAAGAGAAGGCAAUCGUCCGCAUUGGACGAAAACCUGACGGAGCAAGCCCACGUGAGUGAUGAAGAUCUUCGGAUCGUAAAACUCUGUUAUUAGGAAAGAAAAAAUGUGUAAGUAGCUAUGCACGUAUUGACGGUACCUAAUCAGAGAGCCACGGCUAACUACGUG
This 497-nucleotide ribosomal RNA is filed under the name uncultured bacterium. Its description in RNAcentral is "partial 16S ribosomal RNA". It matches the Rfam family "Bacterial small subunit ribosomal RNA", at positions 28 to 507 of the family's 1533-position model. The record is from RNAcentral.